CAUAGAGGCAUGCACCUGUCAUCCCAGCUACUCGGGAGGCUGGGGUGGGAGGAUCACUUGAGCCCAGGAGGUAGAGGUUGCAGUGAGCCGAGAUUGUGCCAUUGCACUCCAGCCUGGGCGACAGAGUGAUACCCUGUCUCAAAACAAAAAGCAAAUAACAAAACAAUGCGUUAUUGUUAGCUAUAGUCACCCUACUAUACAAGAGUACCAGAACUUAGUCCUCCUAUUUAACUGUAACAUUGUACCCAUUGACCAACCUCCUUCCAUUUACACCUUCCUCCUAUUCUCCCCAGUCUCUGGUAACCACUAUUCUAUUCUCAAUUUCUAUGAGAUCAGUUUGGUUUAGAUUCAACAUACGAGUGAAUGAGGUCAUGUGUUGUCUGUCUUUCUGUUCUUGGCUUAUUUCAUUUAAUAUACUGUUUUCCAGGCUCAUCAAUGUUGUCGCAAUUGACAGGAUUUUAUUCCUUUUUAAUGCCUGAAUAGUAUUCCAUUGCUCAUACAUGCCACAUUUUCUUAGCCUGAAGAACAUCUUUUAGAAUUUCCAUUAAUGUGGAUCUUCUGGUGAUAUUAUCUCAGUUUUUGUUUGUCAUAAAAUUACUUCACCUACCUUUGUGGAGGAUAUAUUUGUUCAGUGUGGAGUUCCAUUGGUGAGUAUUUUCUUUCUGCGAUUUGAAUUAUUGUUUUAAUUAUCUGUUUUCUGCAUUCUAUCAUUUGUGUUGAGAAGCCACAUGACAGUCUCCUUUGAAGGUAAUUCAAACCUUUUCCCUGAAGGGAGAUGGAGGCAGGGAGUAGAUUAAAUACUCCAGUCCAGAAGAUUUCAUUAAUUAAUAUUAUCAAUUUAUACAAAUUCUUCCAGAGAAUAGAGGAAAAGGGAUCACGUCUUAGCUUAUUUAAUGAGGUGUAUGUGACCCUGAUAGCAGGAGGUCACAAAGAUAUCACAAGAAAGGGAAAAUUACAUGGUAACCUCACAUAUAUAUGUAAAAAUCUUACACAAAAUAUUAGAAGAUUUAAGUCCAGCCAUAUAUGAAAAGGAUACACAAUCGUGUAAUAUGGAACACUUUCCCCUUGAGAUUGGGAACAAAAUAAGAUAUCCACUAUUCCUGCAUGUAUUCAACAUUUUACUGGAUGAAACAUCUUAGUGCAAUAAGGCAAGAAGAUGAAAUGGAUGGGAGGAAGAUUGGAAAGGAAAAACGAAAACUGUCUAUGCAGAAGACCAUAAAAGAUAGAGAGAAAUUUUAAAAGAAAUAGGUAGAAGAAUGUACCAGGCUCAAUCCUUGGAAGAUUCACUAUAAUAAAGAUGUUAGCUGGGUGUGGUGGUUCACUCCUGUAAUCCCAGCACUUUGGGAGACUGAGGCGGGCGGAUCACGAGGUCAGGAGAUCGAGACCAUCCUGGCUAACACGGUGAAACCCCGUCUCUACUAAAAAAAUACAAAAAACUAGCCGGGCAUGGUGGCAGACGCCUGUAGUCCCAGCUACUCGGGAGGCUGAGGCAGGAGAAUGGCGUGAACCCGGGAGGCAGAGCUUGCAGUGAGCUGAGAUCCGGCCACUGCACUCCAGCCUGGGCGACAGAGCAAGAUUCCGUCUCAAAAAAAAAAAAAAAAAAAAAAA
Macaca fascicularis (crab-eating macaque) is the source of this 1608-nucleotide long non-coding RNA. The record is from Ensembl. Lineage: Eukaryota; Metazoa; Chordata; Mammalia; Primates; Cercopithecidae.